AUCAACUUUCGAUGGUAGGAUAGAGGCCUACCAUGGUGGUAACGGGUAACGGGGUGUUAGGGCACGACACCGGAGAGGGAGCCUGAGAAACGGCUACCACAUCCAAGGAUGGCAGCAGGCGCGUAAAUUACCCAAUCCCGACACGGGGAGGUAGUGACAAUAAAUAACAAUACGGGGUUCUUUAGGAUCUCGUAAUUGGAAUGAGUACAAUUUAAAUCUCUUAACGAGGAACAAUUGGAGGGCAAGUCUGGUGCCAGCAGCCGCGGUAAUUCCAGCUCCAAUAGCGUAUAUUAAAGUUGUUGCAGUUAAAAAGCUCGUAGUUGAAUUUCGGGGUUAGUAGGUUGGUCAUGCCUCUGGUAUGUACUGAUCUCACUGAUUCCUCCUUCCUUAUGAACCGUAAUGCCAUUAAUUUGGUGUUGCGGGGAAUUUGGACUGUUACUUUGAAAAAAUUAGAGUGUUUAAAGCAGGCUAACGCUUGAAUACAUUAGCAUGGAAUAAUGAAAUAGGACGUUCGAUCUUAUUUUGUUGGUUUCUAGGAUUGACGUAAUGAUUAAUAGGGAUAGUUGGGGGCAUUAGUAUUCAAUUGUCAGAGGUGAAAUUCUUGGAUUUAUUGAAGACUAACUACUGCGAAAGCAUUUGCCAAGGAUGUUUUCAUUAAUCAAGAACGAAAGUUAGGGGAUCGAAGACGAUCAGAUACCGUCGUAGUCUUAACCAUAAACUAUGCCGACUAGGGAUCGGAUGAUGUUAAUUUUUUAAUGACUCAUUCGGCGCCUUACG
Molecule: ribosomal RNA, 777 nt
Filed under: uncultured Glomus
Lineage: Eukaryota; Fungi; Glomeromycota; Glomeromycetes; Glomerales; Glomeraceae
Description: SSU rRNA
Rfam family: Eukaryotic small subunit ribosomal RNA
Source: RNAcentral